CUACGGGCGACUGCAGUUAGGAAUAAUCUACAAUGUACGAAAGUAUGAUAGUUUGAGUCAGAGUGCGUUUCAAUUGAAACGCUUUUGAGAAAUGUAAAUAGUUUCUCGAAUAAGGACUGGGUAAGACGGGUGCCAGCCGCCGCGGUAAUACCCGCGGUCCAAGUCGCAGCCACAUUUAUUGGGUCUAAAAUAUCCGUAGCUUGCUUAAUAAGUUUCUUGUGAAAUCCGGCUUCUUAAGAGUCGGGCGCGCAAAAAGUACUGUUAAGCUAGAGACUGGAAGACGUGGGAAGUACGUUUAAAGUAGUGGUUAAAUACGUUAAUCUUAGACGGACUCACAAUAGCGAAGGCAUCCUACGAGGACAGUUCUGACAGUGAGGGAUGAAGGCUAGGGGCGCAAAAAGGAUUAGAUACCCCCGUAGAC
RNAcentral lists this ribosomal RNA (421 nucleotides) under uncultured archaeon. Its description in RNAcentral is "partial 16S ribosomal RNA". It matches the Rfam family "Archaeal small subunit ribosomal RNA", at positions 323 to 746 of the family's 1478-position model. The record is from RNAcentral.